CGGGUAGGCCCUCUGGCUCCCUGGCUCCGGCCCCCUCCCAGCCGUCCCGGCGGAGAACAGGAGGGAGAGGGGCUUCUUGGAAUUCAGUGGAACAGCUCCAGAAUGGCCCGGUCAGACAUUCCAAGAUCUUGGAACCUUAGCACCUCUGUGUGCCAGCCCUGGAGGGGUCACGCAUAGUUUUCUAUUCCAACCCGUUCGUUCUACAGUUGGAGAAACUGAGGCCCUGAGAUAGGUAGAAACUGGUGGUCCAGAAGUUAAUCAGCACGUGUUGCAUGAACGAAUGGAUGAGCGGGCCUCCCGCAGGCCAACUCUCACCCAAGGAAAUCUCCCCGGCAGAGAAGGCAAGCUGGAGGGACUUCUGUGCUGGGCAGGAUGCCUACCUGCCUUCUUCCCUGAGACAAUGUCCAUCGGCCCUGCUGCUACCCAGAUGGAUUCAAGAACUCGAAAAUGUCUCAAGUUCAGGCCCAAAAAGUAAAAUUUUCCAUGGCUAGCUACGCACAGUCUGUAGUAAUAAUGCUAUAAUAGCCUGCAUUUCAUGAACACCCACUAUGUGCCACAUGCCAUGUGUGAGGACAUCAUCUCACCGAAUUCUUGUGGACACAGGUAAAAUUAUUACCAUCACCUGUGUCUUCCAGAUAGAGAAACUGAGAAGCAGAGAAGGAGUAAGUAAUUUGCCCAACCUCAAACAGCUAGGAAGUGUCAGAGCAGGAUUUGAACACAGGUCUGGGAUCCAAGGGCUAUUGUACUGAAUAUGCCACUAUUCCCUCCCUGUUAGAGACCCCCAGCCUCUCACUGGGGUCUUUGCUUCCGGUUCCCCCAGUGCCCUUGGUGCUUGGACCCCAGUUCUCUCAAUGCACUGGAAUCCCCUGGCACUCCCCGGGGGUCCUGAGAGGCAGCCUCAUAUGCUGGCAUCUAGGAUAGAGCUCCACCGCUUGGCCCCCAGUGCCUCUUGGCCCUGCUCCCUGCCCUUUGCAUCCCCUCCCUGAGGUCCCAGUGCCUGCUCCAGGAGCUUGGGGAUGUCCCCGGAAGUCCUUUGAGGCAGAGGCUUCCCCUGGCUGCCUGACUUCUCAGAAACAGAUAUCACCUGUCACCUCUGUCUCUCUGUGAAACAAGAGCCCAUCUCCCAGGGCAGCCGUGUUGCUGGGCUUUUCUUCUAAGGGACAGUGCAGCCCAGCCCCCACUGCCUCCUGGCCCUGGCUAGACAGCUCCAAGCCAGGGAUGCUCACUAAUGACGGGGAAGAGGCUUGCCUCGGUUUCCAUGGCAACGGCUGCGUGCUCCGCUUAGUCAAUCACUCUCUGAAUCUCCUGCUGGUCUGAGAGUUAUUUUGCAUAGACAUGCUUCACUCUUACCCAGGAACUCUGCACUGGCUCUUCAGAUCCUUCCAGAUAGUUUAUAAAGUUGAUUUUCUCUUUCCUUCCUCAGUCGAAGUUCCUUUAUCUUGAAAGCUCAGCUCAAAUCCCACCUCUUCUAAGAGACCUUUCCAGGUCCCCUCCUCUCACCCCUCCCCAGGUGGAGUCAAUCUUCUGCACCCCGAGCUCCCCUGGGGCAUGUUUAUGGCUCUCUUAGAUCACAGUCUGCCUGUUUCACAGUUAUUUAUGUGUCUCCCUCUGAGCCCCUGGUGAGUGAUCAGCCCAUAGUAGGUGCUAAACAAACAUUUGUUUGAAUUUAUUUGAGUUUCCCUUUCAGGGUUUUAAAAAAUUACUAUUAUUAACAGUACAGACCCUUACUAAUAAUCCCUAUGCUUGUAAAAUUAUUUACAGUUUAUAUAUAGCUUCGUGCUCGAGGGCUUUAAACUUUAAACCCCAGCUCCUCCCUUGUGAGCUCUGUGACAACGUACAAGCCCAGUGACUGUUCUCAGCUUGCUUCUCGUCCGUAAAAUGGAUUGUUGUAAAUAUUAAAAUAAACGCGUAAAGAGUUUACUUAGCACAGGGCCAGAUGCUCGCGAUGCCUCAGUGAAAUGUUAGUCAUUAUUCUAACCACGGUCUCAUUUGGACCCCACCAGAGCUCUAGGAUGAGAAGAAGGGCAGGGUUUUUGUCAAUGUUGUUCUUGUUGCCCAGGACACGCGAGAAGGCUGAGGCUCGGAGACGGGAAGGUUGGCCUAAGUGUUCAGACCUCUGCCGAGUGCUACGGUGGGCGCCCGUUGUCAGCCUCUCCCCUUUCCUGGCACUGGAAGCUGCAUUUCCCUGUGCAGAGCCAUUCCUUUCUCCUGGUGGGUCCACUCCGAGGCAGGCUUGGCUAAUCAGAGCAUCAGAUGUCCCUGGCCACAGUGAUUAGUAUAGGGACAGGCGAGGGGACCCAGCUCAAAGGGAGUCCAGUGAGACUCACUUCUGAGGUUUUAUUUGCAUUUCUGAGAGCAAGAUUGUCUCUUCACUGCUGGACUGGAAGCCUAACUCUAGGCUGACUCUAGGGGCCAACUCUAACAGAGAGGAAGGCCAAGUGCAGAGGUAAAGACAGAUUCAUCGUAUUGUCAUUUGAGCCGAGGAAUUCCGAACAAACAACUCUGCAGACUUUGGCAAUGGGAAUGAGUACAGUCCUUCCAUCUUGCACCAGGUUGCACUGGUGUCGGUCACCUGCAACUGAACAAGUACCAGCUAUUGCAAAUAUCCUGUCUCCUCCACACUGAGGUCAGGGGUCUCUCCAUUGUGUUCGUUCACACGACAAACACUGAGUACUUGCUAUGUGCCAUCUACUACUUCCCAGGGCUGAGACUGCAGGGAUGGGCAAGACAAACCACCCAGCCCUUGGGGUGAGCUAAUAGUCCAUUGUCAUCCCAUUUGACAUAGGAAGAGACUGAGGCUCAGAGAGGGGGACAUUGCCAAAGUACGUGUCCUUCAAAUGAUUCAGGGUGCCAUGGUUCAGAAUGAGGCUGGCCAGGAGCUGGGACAGGCAGCUGGGACUGGCCAGUCACUGUCAGGAAGAUCUGGUUGAGGCAUUCAUGAGUUUCUGCUUAUCCCAGGUCAAAGCAGGAAGGUUCUGGACCCAAGCAAGAGGUGGGACACAGAGGCUGAGACUCUGGACCCCCAGCUCUAUCACUCCUGACAGGGGAUGUUUUCCUGGGAACAGUGUGGUCUGUUUUGGGGGUCUGAUUUGGGGGAUUUGACUCCCAUGCUCCAGGCUGAGUGGCUAGCCUCUCCUCCUGGGCUAUAACUCGAUUAUUAAAGGCUCUCCAGCCUCAGGAUUAUCCCAAGAGGAAACUUCUUCUCCUGGGAUCUCUCACUACACUUGUCAAAGUGAAAGGCCCAUUUUCCAGCCCAAGCUGAGACAAGUUUUUCUCCUCCAUCUGAUGACUCAGCCCCUGGGAGAGACCAGUCUCUCCAGGGCUGGGCCCCUUGGGGAGACUGUGAUGUCUGAAAGUUGGAUGUGCUUUCAGCUUGCUUUGUUUGUCUCUGCCUCAUCUGGAUCUAGAGUCUGACAUAUAAUAGAUGAAUGCGUUUUUCUCGAAUGAAUGUUUGUGGGUUUUGGUUUGCUUGUUUACUUGUGUGGGGUUUUCCGAAGGAGAGAGUGUGCCCAUCCCGAGGCAAGCUGACUGUGAAGCUAGUAAGGUUUAAGCAUCUGGAUCCUUCCCCAGCACCGGCCCCUCUCUAAGCCCUGGGAGGGGCCCCAGCCAUGGUCAUGUGCUUCUAUAAGAUUUACACGAGGCAUUUGAACUGCAAUCAGUUGAGAUCACUCACUUUUUCCAUGCUGCCCUCCUUACUGUCAGGUCUUCCUUUUGUCCAAUGCCUUUAGAGUAGCUGUGGAAUUUGGGGGAUCUGGCUAAGGAGAAGUGGAAUUGGUGAUACCUUUAGUUUGCAUCUGGCGGCCGUCUAGGUUUUGCAUAUAGUUCAGUCAACUGUUUCAGGAUAGGAAUGUCCUGAAGGACCCCCUUGCUGUCUACCGAGCCCACUCACCUGGCAUAAAGACUCAGAGAUGAGGGCUCCGAGCUGCAUGGCGCCAUGAACCUGUCCUCCAGGAGCUGGCCACAGAACUGUGUGUGCUGGAGAGGAGGGCUUGUUUGAAAUCUAGGAAGCUGGAAGCGAGGCUAUAGAAAGUUCUUCUGAUGAUUGUAAGCAGAUAAGCCUUCCCUUCUUUUUUUGUGUCUUAUGGUUGAACUGCAUCCCUCUGAAAAGCUCUGUUGUUGUCCUCAUUGCCGGUACCUCAGAAUGAGACCUUAGUUGGAAAUAGGGUCUUCUUGGAGAUAGUCAAAUUAAAACGAGACCCUUAGAAGGGGCCUUAAUCUGAUAUAAUUGUGGUGACCUUAUAAAACGGGGGAGGUUUGGACCCAGAGAUGGACAGACAGGGAAACCCCAGGUAGAGAUGAAGGCAGAAAUCAGGGUGAUGCUUCUACAAGGCCAAGAACACCGAAGACUACCAGCAGAGCCCUAGAAGCCAUGAGAGGGGUCUGAACCAGAUUCUUUCUCACAGCCCCCAGAACGAACCGAUACUGCCAACACCUUGAUCGCAGACCUCUAGCCUCUAGAACUGGGAGACAAUACAUUGCUGUGGUUUAAGCCCCACAGCAUGGAACAUGGUUAUGGAAGUCCCAGUAAACAAAUCCACAUGGGAAACAAAAGUCAUCAGAAGACCUGUGUGUGUGUGUCCCAAACCUGGGGCAACACCACACAUGGUGAGAACAUCCAUGUGUGAAGUCCCAUGUUUCGUGCAUCCCAACUAGCACAAAUCAAGAGGAAAAAUCCAGUUAACCCUGCAAGAAGGAGGAGCCGAUUAUCUUUCCAUUUUCUUUCCAGGAGCAUACCUUAGAUGACACCAGUGCCCUGCCCCCCACCCUCCAAGAACUACACGGCUCCCACCAUCUGGAACUUUCUCUCAUUGUCUGCAGCUAGGACUUCCCUACCUCCACCCCAAGGGCCUCCUCCCAUUACCUGUGUGUGCUCUCCCACAUCAUAUUUAGAAAACAACCGGCUGGGCUCUGCUUCUAUGGGCCCAGACCUCAAAUUGGAGAUUCUAGAGGUUUAAGGGGUAGAGUGGCCUGAACCCUGUCCCCCAAACCACCCUUCCUUGUCAGUUUCCAUUCCUUCCCCCAGCCCAGAAAACCAAAUCAGAGUUCUUUCCUCUCAGACCCUGAAGGAAUAUUGCCUUCAUGUUUGGCCCCAGGCGAACAUUCUCAAUUACCCUGGAAAGGCCAUCUAAACAUUGGCGAUUCUGCUGGGUUUUUCUUUCCACCUUUUCCUCCUCCUUCCCCUGGCCUGGCCUCCAGCCUCUCUUCCAUAUUCCGUGCCCCACGGUGUCCUCAGAGGAACCCAGCUCUCCCUCUUCCUCUGCAACCCACCUCCCACCCACACUUACCACCAGCCUCCUUUCUCUUAUCAGAUGACCGGCCACUCGGAUUGUUUUUCUUAGGCGUCUGUCUGAGGCUCUUGGCUAAGGAUGUGGGCAGAAGCAGAGGGAAACUAUAGGGUGGUUCAUCUGUAGCAGCCAGGUAGGGAUUCAGGGGCUCACCAUGCAGAGGGUUCUAGAACAACCUCGAGUACAACUUUACUCAUCAAGAUUCUGGACUUGGCACUGAAAAAAGGGGAUUGAUCAGGACCCUUGGAGAGACAGAAACCCAUCUUGCCAGCUUAAUGCAAGAAAGGGGAGUUUUUUGACUGAUGGAGCCAUGAGGAAGAAGAAGGAGGGGGCGCCUGGGUGGCUCAGUGGGUUAAAGCCUCUGCCUUCAGCUCAGGUCAUGAUUCCAGGGUCCUGGGAUUGAGCCC
Lutra lutra (Eurasian river otter) is the source of this 5692-nucleotide long non-coding RNA. RefSeq lists it as uncharacterized. The record is from RefSeq and is a predicted model, not a curated record. NCBI's taxonomy places the organism in Eukaryota, Metazoa, Chordata, Mammalia, Carnivora, Mustelidae. The transcript has 4 exons.